UACGUAGGGUGCAAGCGUUGUCCGGAAUUAUUGGGCGUAAAGAGCUCGUAGGCGGCCUGUUGCGUCCGCUGUGAAAGCCUGGGGCUUAACCCCGGGUCGGCAGUGAAUACGGGCAGGCUAGAGGUAGGUAGGGGAGAAUGGAAUUCCCGGUGUAGCGGUGAAAUGCGCAGAUAUCGGGAGGAACACCGGUGGCGAAGGCGGUUCUCUGGGCCUUACCUGACGCUGAGGAGCGAAAGCGUGGGGAGCGAACAGG
Molecule: ribosomal RNA, 253 nt
Filed under: uncultured bacterium
Lineage: Bacteria
Description: partial 16S ribosomal RNA
Rfam family: Bacterial small subunit ribosomal RNA
Source: RNAcentral